This 255-nucleotide long non-coding RNA is filed under the name Sorghum bicolor (sorghum). RNAcentral's name for it is "long non-coding RNA (SBIC_LNC005366)". The record is from RNAcentral. Lineage: Eukaryota; Viridiplantae; Streptophyta; Magnoliopsida; Poales; Poaceae.
GCCAUAUUGAUAGAAUAUAGAGAUUUUGGUGAAAAAAAUCUCCUCUAACAGCUUCUUAAACUAGAUCUCCAAAUAUUUUCGUCCACUAUUCAUAGUUACUCACUAGACAAAGAAAGAGCGCAAAGCUAGCUCUUCGAAGUACCGAACAAAAUAUAGAAGUUAUUGGAGUGUUGAGAUAUAUAGAUAAUUGGUUUAACAAAGAUGGUUGGAGAUAGGUAACUAAAGUUUUUCUAAUGUUGUUUGGAUACAUAGACU